Long non-coding RNA from Orcinus orca (killer whale), 3923 nucleotides. RefSeq lists it as uncharacterized. The record is from RefSeq and is a predicted model, not a curated record. NCBI's taxonomy places the organism in Eukaryota, Metazoa, Chordata, Mammalia, Artiodactyla, Delphinidae. The transcript has 3 exons.
GCCGGGAGCCCGCACACCCCAGAAGGCCACGCCCCUCCCUGAGGCUGAGAGUUUGGCACCUGCUGUAGGGUAGGCCAGCGAGGCCACGCCCGUCAGCGAGCCGGGCGAGACACGCCCCGCGGGUUCCCGCCGGCCUACGUCCCGGAAGUUUUGAAAAGGGGGUCCUGGGACCCCUGGAGACCAAGUUCCCCUCAGUGUGAGGACUCCGCCCCCCGGCCAAGGUUCGGGGCUGAAGAAGCGACUUCAAAGCCCUUAGCGGCGGCUCGGGACGGCGGGGUCCGAGAGGAAGGGACGGGCCAGAAAUCCAUGUGUCCCCAGGACUUCCCUGGUGGCACAGUGGUUAAGAAUCUGCCUGCCAAUGCAGGGGACAAGUGUUCGAGCCCUGGUCCGGAAGAUCCCACAUGCCGCGGAGCAACUAAGCCUGUGCGCCACAACUGCUGACCCGCGUGCCACAACUACUGAAGCCCGCGCGCCUAGAGCCCAUGCUCUGCAACAAGAGAAGCUCCCGCUCGCCACAACUAGAGAAAGCCUGCGUGCAGCAAUGAAGACCCAACACAGCCAAAAAUAAAUAACUCUAUUGAGAUAUAAUCGACAAACAAUAAACUGCACAUAUUUAAAAUGUACAAUUUGGGGACUUCCUUGGUGGCACAGUGGUUAAGAAUCCGCCUGCCAAUGCAGGGGACACGGGUUCGAGCCCUGGUCUGGGAAGAUCCCACAUGCCACGGAGCAACUAAGCCCGUACGCCACAACUACUGAGGCUGCGAGCCACAACUACUGAAGCCUGCACGCCUGGAGCCCAUGUUCCACAACAAGAGAAGCCACCGCAAUGAGAAGCCUGCGAACUGCAAUGAGAAGCCCAUGAACCUCCACAAAGAGUAGCCCCUGCUCACCACAACUAGAGAAAGCCCACACGCAGCAAUGAAGAUGCAACACAGCAAAAAAAAGAAAAAAGAAAAAAAUUUUUUUUAUGAAAUAAAAUGUACAAUUUGGUAAGUCAAAAGAUUUUUUUAAUUGAUGUAUAACUGACAUGUAACAUUAAUUUCUGGUGUAUAACAUAAUGAUUCUAUAUUUGUAUAUAUUGCAAAAUAAUUACCACAGUAAGUCAGGUUAACAUCCAUAAUCUGAUAAGUUUUGACAUAUGUAUACACCCAUGAAACUCUCCCCAGAAUCAAAAUAAUGAACACAUCCAUCACCCGCAGUGUUUCCUUGUACCUCUUUGUAAUUCGUCUCUUCAGCCUCUAGGCAACCACUGAUCUGAUUUCGGUCAUUAUGGGCCAGUUUGCAUUUUUUAGAAUUUUAUGCAAAUGAAAUCAUACAGAGCAUACUCUUUUUGUCUGGGUUUCUUUUACUUACUGUAAUUAUUUUGAGAUUCAUGUAUGUUGUUGCGUGUAUUACGAGUUCAUUCAUUUUUGUUGGGAAAUAUCAUUGAUUUGAUUAUCAAUAGUAAUUAGUUUGAUUAUCCAUUCUCCUGUUGAUGGAUAUCUGGGUUAUUUCCAGUUUGGGGCCAUUACAAAUAAAGCUGCCAGGAACAUUCACAUACAAGUCUUUGUAAGGACAUGUAUGCUUUUAUUUCUCUUGGAAAAUACCUAGGAGUAGAACGGCUGGAUUAUAUGAUAGGUGUGUGUGUAACUUUUUUUGUGUGUGUGUGAGUAAACCAGGCUUUUACUGCUCACAAGGUCAUUUCUGAGUUGCAAACAAUUUUUCCCUAUAUUUCCCCCACUCAGUCUGGGCUGCCACAAUCAGACAGACAGAAAGUGCCAGGACACUUUUUUCUUGCAUCUGUAGUGGAAACCUUAGCAGCAGACAGUAGUGUGUAAUUUUUUAUGAAUCGGCCAAACUGUUUUCCAAAGUGGUUGUCCCAUUUCACAUUCCCACCAGCAAUGUCUGAAAGUUCCAGUUCUUCCACACCCUCACCAACACUUAAGAUGGUCAAUCUUUUAAAAUUCAGAAUGGGCUAUAUGAGAUUUUAAUCAAAUAACAAUUUGCUUCGAUUUCUAAUAUUUGUCAGUUCAGUAGGUGAAAGGUGAUAUCUUACUGCAGUUUUCUGUGAUUACUUAACGGCUUGGAGCAUCCCUUUAAACGCUUGUUAGCACUUUGACCGUCUUUAUUCUGCAGAUUCCCUCCUUGUAUUCUCUGCCCAUUUUCUCUUGGAAUAUUUUUCUUGUUGAUGGGCAAGACAUUUAAACAAAUAAUAUCAGUUCUUUGUCAGAUUUGGACAUUGCAAAUAUUUUCUCUUGUUGUAUCGGCUGCCUAUUAAUUUUUCUUCGGUGAACUUCAUUUGAUAGAAAUCCUUAAAUUUGGUGUAAUCAGAAUGACCAAUUUUCCCUUUAGGGUUUGUGAUUUUGAAAUUUUGCAUAUGUUCUUUUCCAUCUCUGCAUCACAAAUUCACCUUUUCUUCCAUAACUUUAUAGUUUUACUCUUGAUAUUUAGCUCUUUUGAAUCCAUCUAGAGUUCAUCCUUGUUUUGGGUGUUAGGGAUCCAAUUUAUUUUCCUCAUAUUGAGCCACAUUUACCACAUGUCCGAUUCUGAUAUAUACAAGUGUCUGUCUCUGGUAUUCUGUUCCAUUGGUGUAUCUGUCCUUGCACUAAUACUAUACUGUUAUUGUUGCUGGAUGCUUUGUAGCAAGUUUAAAUUUCUGGAAGGGCAAGAUCCCUCUUGUUACUCUUACCACUCAGCGUCAACUUUUUUUUUAAUUAAUUAAUUUAUUUAUUUAGGCUGUGCUGGGUCUUAGUUGCAGCACGUGGGAUCUUCAUUGUGGCAUGUUUAGUGAGGGAUCCUUAGUUGUGGCAUGUGCACUUCUUAGUUGUGGCACGUGAACUCUUAGUUGCAGCGUGCAUGUGGGAUCUAGUUCCCCGAGCAGGGAUCGAACUUGGGAGCGUGGAGUCCUACCCACUGGACCACUGGAGAAAUCCUCCCUCUCAGUGUCAACUUAACCAUUUGUGUUUUUUUGUUCUUUUUCUUAUUGCUCCAAACAAAUUUGAGGGUAAACUUAUCAAGAUCUUUCAAAAACCCUCCCCCAAAACAAAAAACAACCACCAGAUGAAUUUUUAUGGGUAAUAUAUCAAAUUGUAAGUUAUUCUGGGGACAAGUGAUAUCUUUAUAAUGUUAAGUCAUCCCAUUUAAGAGCAUGGACUAUCUCUCUGUUUAUUCAAGUCAUCUUCUGUUUUUUAGUAGAAUUAAAUUUUUUCUUCCACCGAGGUCUUAUGAAUACUUGGUUUCCUAGAUGCUUCAUAAUUUUUGUCAGUGAUGCAAACUGAGUGGUUUUUUUGUUUGUUUUUUUGUGAUACACGGGCCUCUCACUGUCGUGGCCUCUCCCGUUGCAGAGCACAGGCUCCAGACGCGCAGGCUCAGCGGCUAUGGCCCACGGACCCAGCCGCUAUGUGGCAUGUGGGAUCUUCCCGGACUGUGGCACGAACCCGUAUCCCCUGCAUCGGCAGGCGGACUCUCAACCACUGCGCUACCAGGGAAGCCCGUAAUGUAUUACUCUUUAAAAACAUUUUUAACAUUUGGUUAAGUAAUAUUUUAUUAAUGAUGUUUGCAUCUGUAUUUAUAAAUGAAAUGGGCCUAUAAUACUUAUAUUACCCUUAACUGAUUUCAGAGGCAAGAGUAACGUAGCCUCAGAAAAUGAGUUGGUCACUUUUUCACUCCUUCUCCAGAUCUGUAUCUCAAAAUGCACUCCAGGCUGAGUCAUAGGAGAUUAUCUGGACCAGCAUCCUGUUUCCCAAGCAGGCAAAAUAUUAUCAUUCCUAUUUUAUAGAUGAGGCAACUGAGGCCCAAGAAUAAAUUCCUGAAUGGGGUGGAAUUGGAACCUGGAAUAUUUUAACUGCCUUGGGUGUAUAACUUCUUGGUCUGACCAGUAAAAUAAUCACCAGUGACCUGUAUAAUAAUGAGUUUUUGAGUUAUAAUACAUAAUAUUAAAAUAA